UACGGGGGGAGCAAGCGUUGUUCGGAUUUACUGGGCGUAAAGGGCGCGUAGGCGGUCGUGACAAGUCACUUGUGAAAUCUCCGGGCUUAACUCGGAACGGUCAAGUGAUACUGUCGGACUAGAGUACAGAAGGGGCAACUGGAAUUCUCGGUGUAGCGGUGAAAUGCGUAGAUAUCGAGAGGAACACCUGCGGCGAAGGCGGGUUGCUGGGCUGACACUGACGCUGAGGCGCGAAAGCUAGGGUAGCAAACGGG
Molecule: ribosomal RNA, 254 nt
Filed under: uncultured bacterium
Lineage: Bacteria
Description: partial 16S ribosomal RNA
Rfam family: Bacterial small subunit ribosomal RNA
Source: RNAcentral